CACACUAUCAUUAACUGAAUCCAUAGGUUAAUGAGGCGAACCGGGGGAACUGAAACAUCUAAGUACCCCGAGGAAAAGAAAUCAACCGAGAUUCCCCCAGUAGCGGCGAGCGAACGGGGAGGAGCCCAGAGCCUGAAUCAGCAUGUGUGUUAGUGGAAGCGUCUGGAAAGGCGCGCGAUACAGGGUGACAGCCCCGUACACAAAAGCGCAUGUGCUGUGAGCUCGAUGAGUAGGGCGGGACACGUGGUAUCCUGUCUGAAUAUGGGGGGACCAUCCUCCAAGGCUAAAUACUCCUGACUGACCGAUAGUGAACCAGUACCGUGAGGGAAAGGCGAAAAGAACCCCGGCGAGGGGAGUGAAAAAGAACCUGAAACCGUGUACGUACAAGCAGUGGGAGCACAGGUUUACCUGUGUGACUGCGUACCUUUUGUAUAAUGGGUCAGCGACUUAUAUUCUGUAGCAAG
Molecule: ribosomal RNA, 464 nt
Filed under: Salmonella enterica subsp. enterica serovar Paratyphi B var. L(+) tartrate +
Lineage: Bacteria; Pseudomonadati; Pseudomonadota; Gammaproteobacteria; Enterobacterales; Enterobacteriaceae
Description: partial 23S ribosomal RNA
Rfam family: Bacterial large subunit ribosomal RNA
Source: RNAcentral